This 474-nucleotide ribosomal RNA is filed under the name Pholoe sp. B BCG-2017. RNAcentral's name for it is "partial 16S ribosomal RNA". It matches the Rfam family "Bacterial large subunit ribosomal RNA", at positions 1832 to 2609 of the family's 2925-position model. The record is from RNAcentral. Lineage: Eukaryota; Metazoa; Annelida; Polychaeta; Phyllodocida; Pholoidae.
CUCCAGAUAAAUUAUUUGAGGUACAUCCUGCCCAGUGUUCAAUAUAAACGGCCGCAGUAUCCUGACUGUGCGAAGGUAGCAUAAUCAUUUGCCUCUUAAUUAGAGGCUAGUAUGAAUGGACACACUAAUUUUUACUUUAUUUGAUUGAUUUUAUAGAAUUUAGUUUUUAGGUGAAGAAACCUAAAUACCUUAGAAAGACAAGAAGACCCUAUUGAGUUUUAUCUUAUAAUAAAUAAAAAGAUUUUGUUGGGGCGACCUGGGAAUAAAUUAAUCUUCCCUAAUAUCUAAGGAAACCAUAAUAAUGAUCCUAAAGGAAUAUAGAAUAAACUACCAUAGGGAUAACAGGCUAAUUUUUUCAGAGAGUUCAUAUUAAAGAAAAAGUUUGGCACCUCGAUGUUGGCUUGAAGAAUCUUUUAGGUGUAGUAGCCUGAUAAAGAUAGUUUGUUCAACUAUUAAAUCUUCACGUGAUCUGAG